Long non-coding RNA from Carassius carassius (crucian carp), 573 nucleotides. RefSeq lists it as uncharacterized. Lineage: Eukaryota; Metazoa; Chordata; Actinopteri; Cypriniformes; Cyprinidae. The transcript is spliced from 3 exons. The record is from RefSeq and is a predicted model, not a curated record.
UUAAAUUGCAUCAUAUGACCCGUUUAAAAUAGAAAAGAAAGAUUAUGGAUGUGUAAAACUCCCUUUUUCUGCCCUCAGGGGGGGUUCUCAACUACAGAUGAGAUGUGUUUGGCCUUCAUCUUCUACUAUCCAGCUAUGAAUCUGAGCAGCUGUGAGAGCUUCCCUGAUUUAAAGUCAUUACAUUCUGCAAUGGGAGCAACAGAUACUGAUUCUUGGUACAAUAUAAUGUUCACCAAGACUUGGAAUGACAUGACUAUCAAUGAAUACCAACAGACACUGAAGAGUAUCGACCAGUUCAUCACAGUUGUGAACUCACUUAACAAUGCAUCUUCCUUUAAAGGGACUCUUCCUGAUCUCAAAGUCAUCCCGCCUGCACCCUGCAUAAGUGGCUGUGUGACCAAAAGUCUUGCUGUGCUAUCUCUGCUCACAUGUUUGGCAUUGCAAUGGGCUUCCUUUUGAAACACUAAUGCAAACUAGCACUGAUGUAACUUGUCUGAAUGUCUGAAUCAUAAAGAGGGCAAAAACCCCUGACUGAAAAUUGAGCAAGCUAUAUGUAACUUCUUCCUUUUUUUU